GAGAGGAAGAUGUGAUCAGACAAAGACAUCACACUGCUGUGAGGUUAAAUUUGAUCAAGUGUUAAUCUUAUGUCAAACACUGUGAUGAAACACAAACAGAAAUGACAUUACAGUCUAUACAUCCUUUUGAAAGAAGGUAUGAUGGAAGUAAAGCCAGCAGGCCUCAUGGAAAACAACAAAAAAGUUCUUGGAUGAGUAAUGGGAUCCAUGUGGAACAUGUGUAGCUUUAAUAAGAGGAACCAAUAUUUCCUCUGCUGGUGUUGUGUGGCUGCCUGGAGGGGAAGUCGUUUCUAGCCCCGUAUAAACCCUGCAGUUAUUUGCAGCUCGACCUCAAGUAAACAAAUUCCUCCGUAAAACACUGGGAGCCGUGUCGACGUCUGCGAGGUGGGAAGACGCCCCUCCCUGACCCCACCCUCCACCGACACGCCAGUACGCUGGGAGCUAACGGACAACAUCUGAGUCCACACCAUGAAAGAGGGAGCAGUAAAGGAGGACCGUUUUCUGGAGAUGCUGCUUAAUUACAUAAAGGAAGACAACAUCUGGUGGGUUUAUAAUCAAAGCUUUAUCUGAUCUUUCAUUUUCCAGUGGAAAGUGAGUCACUAAGAACUUAACGCUGGAACAUCUGUCCUUGUUUCUGUACUGCAAACACACAUGAAGUCCCUGCUUUAGAGAAGAAGAUCGAUAAAGUAUUUCAUUGCCAUUUUUCAGGGUGCAGUACCACUUCAACUUAAUUAUAAAGUUCAGCUUCUUAAGUGAAGGUCUGCAGAUACUUUUUCCACUGACAUAAAAAGGGAUAAGUAGAACACUUUUCACACAUUCAAAAUCUGUUUAUUUUUUGGCUAAGAAUGAAUACACAAGGAACUUGACUUUGGAGACGUAUGCACUCAUAUACAAAGAGAAAGUAAACGGAGUAUAAAUCUAUGUAAAAAAACAACAAUAGAAGAACAAAACAAAGAUAUGUGAAACAUUUAAGCCAGUUUUCUAUUUUAGAUUUAUUUCAAACAUGUAAAAAAAAAUACAAAGCAUAAAACACAGUAAAAAAAAACAACAACAACAAAAAAAACAAUACAAUCUCGAUUUGUAAAGAAAAAGUCACAAACUGAAGUCAAUAAAUACAUGUUUGAAAAGUUUAAAAGUGUUGUGGUUUCAAACACUGGUCAGAAGUUCAUAAGAGGGUUGGCUCAGGGGAAGAAGCUAUGUUUGUGGUUUUGGUGUUUAGAAGUUCUAAACGCCGGCCUGAGGGGAGGAGUCUAAAAGGAUUGUGUGAGGGGUCUGUGGUGAUUAUGCUAGAGAGCACAGCAGUGAGGAACCAUCCAGGUGCAGUAUGAAUUAAAGCAGGUCAUACGUAUGUUGCACUCUCCAGUUCUUUUAUGUACAAAUUAAGUCUUUAUGUUUACCUAUGAUACAAAGGUUUAACGUACAGGACUGGGGAUCAUCAAUGAAUCUGUUUAAUUUCAUAUGUGGUUCUCCGUCCAUCCAUCUUCAGAAUUCACUGAAUCUCUUUCAUGGGGCUACCAGAGCCUGUCCUGGUGGGCUACACUCUGAACAGGUCACCAGUAUGUUGCAAGGCAACAAACUCACACUUAGAUACAAUUUAGAGUCACAUAUUAACCUAUCAAGGCAUGUUUUUGUACCGGAGUGCCCAGAGAAAACCCCUACUCAUCACGAUGGGAACAUGCAUGUCCGAGCCACAGAGUGGAACCAGGCCCUUCUUAUGGAGAGAAAAUAGACUCACUCCGAUUUAUGCACACGUAAUUCUCGAUUUGUGUGUAACUCUGGAUUUGUGCGUGGGUAAAUCUUGACUUGUAACUCAUGUAAUACAUUUUGUGAAUAAGAACAUCCAUCCAUCCAUCCAUCUCCUUUGAAUAAGAACAAAAUUACAAAAUAAAAAAAAAUACAAUUUACACAUGCAAAGCUCAAAAUUACAACACCUUAAAACUAACUAUGCACACAAAUCUUAAAAAAAUACGCAUGAGUCGUUUGUUACACACAGACAAGACUGCAUUUACACACAAAUCUGAUAUGAGACUCUUUUCACAUCUCCAAAAUUUGUGCGUCAGUAUGUGUUUAAAUGCUGCUGGGUCAUCAGAGUUUUCUUAUCAGCCACUUUGAACUUAGAUUGUGAAUAUUAUCUGGUGAAAACAUGACAUUUUCCCACUUUCUUAAACAGAUAUGAUCCCAUAAUUACUAUAAAAUAAGUCUAAAAAUGUGUUUUUAAAACACUCAACAUUAAAGUUUCUCUAUUCUCUAAAGUUUCUUGGCUGGGCUUUUCCUGCAGCACCUUCAGCGUGGGACUCUUCCCUGAGCAGGCGGCGUGAGGUCCUCCUCGACAUCCAGAGAGCGGACAGAGUUGAUCAGCCUUACGUCCCGCUCUGCUUCCUUGGUGUGGAGAUUGAGCUUGCGCUGUUUGCUUCCUCUGUAUACCAGGAGCGGUUCUGCCUUGAGGGAGCGAUGAGUCGAUCAGCUCUACGCCCGGCUCUCCAAGGAAAGCAUGCAGUCCAAGAGUCCGCUCCGCUUCUCCACACAUUACGGAAGCACAAAUCUAAAGUUACGCACAAAUCAAGGAUUACGCAUGCAAAAAUUGGAGUGAGUCUAUUUUCUCUCCAUACAUUCUCGUUGUGCGUGGAGAGCUUUAACCACUCCACCAUCAUGCAGCCACAUGCGAUAUUUUGACUGAAGAAAUUAAGAUUAUUAAACCCUUUAAAAUUAUUUUUGGGGACUUUGAAUGACAUGUUUCAUAAAACUGGUGACAGACUUAAAAGAAGGGGAAAUUUCAUUAAUAGAAUAUUACAGAAAAAAAUGAAAAUAAAAGAAAA
Molecule: long non-coding RNA, 2816 nt
Organism: Oryzias melastigma (Indian medaka)
Lineage: Eukaryota; Metazoa; Chordata; Actinopteri; Beloniformes; Adrianichthyidae
Exons: 2
Source: RefSeq, a predicted model, not a curated record